AUGCAGGGACGAGAGAGUUCUUGGCUAGGGCGUGGUUCAGUUCGAAGCUGUGGACUGCUAGAUAGAAGCAAGGAGCGCCGACAGCCAGACACCCUGGGGUUUCUGAUGCAGCUAAUCGGCAGAUCCAGUGUCCCUGGGGUGGGGGAUUUGGAGGUGGCCCAGCAGGCGGAGCGCGAGGCAGCCGGCGGUGGACAGCGGCGACACACAAAUCUAGUUCGCACACGAAGCGGCGGCCAACAGAAGGGAGAGCUCGCCGGCGAUGUCGGAGCUGUCAACGGGAAAGAUGAAUCCCCAAGCACUGGGGUGGAUCAAAAGGUAUACCAACUUGCAGUCCAUCAGAUUUUCAGAGAUUUAGGACAAAGAAAGUAG
RNAcentral lists this ribosomal RNA (369 nucleotides) under Triticum aestivum (bread wheat). RNAcentral describes it as "partial small subunit ribosomal RNA". Lineage: Eukaryota; Viridiplantae; Streptophyta; Magnoliopsida; Poales; Poaceae. The record is from RNAcentral.